RNAcentral lists this transfer RNA (68 nucleotides) under Marmota monax (woodchuck). RNAcentral describes it as "tRNA.Ala". Lineage: Eukaryota; Metazoa; Chordata; Mammalia; Rodentia; Sciuridae. The record is from RNAcentral.
GGAUUGUGGCUCAGCGGUAGAGCGCUCGCCUAGCAUGUGCAAGACCCUGGGUUCGUUCCUCAGCACCA